Molecule: unclassified non-coding RNA, 231 nt
Filed under: plant metagenome
Description: partial contains small subunit ribosomal RNA, internal transcribed spacer 1, and 5.8S ribosomal RNA
Source: RNAcentral
UCUCCGUUGGUGGACCAGCGGGGGGAUCAUUACUGAGUUACCGCUCUACAACCCUCUGUGAACAUACCUGACUGUUGCUUCGGCGGGCAGAGGUCCCUCGCGGAUCUCUCCCGGCAACGCCCUCACGGGCGGAGCGCCCGCCGGAGGAUACCAAACUCUAUUUUAACGACGUUUCUUCUGAGUGGCACAAGCAAAUAAUUAAAACUUUUAACAACGGAUCUCUUGGUUCUG